Molecule: small nuclear RNA, 107 nt
Organism: Heterocephalus glaber (naked mole-rat)
Lineage: Eukaryota; Metazoa; Chordata; Mammalia; Rodentia; Bathyergidae
Source: Ensembl
GUGUUCGCUUCAGCAGCACAUAUACUAAAAUUAGAAUGAUACAGAGACGAUUAACAUGGCCCCAGUAUAAGGAUGAUAUGCAAAUGCAGGAAGCGUUUCCUAUUGUU